This is a non-coding RNA of Schistocephalus solidus, 83 nucleotides long. The record is from Rfam. Lineage: Eukaryota; Metazoa; Platyhelminthes; Cestoda; Diphyllobothriidea; Diphyllobothriidae.
GGCCUCGUAGCUCAGUUGGCUAGAGCGUUGGCUGUACUAAAGCCUUAACCUUGCUAGCGUGGGUUGGAAUCCCACCGAGGCCG